Molecule: ribosomal RNA, 255 nt
Filed under: uncultured soil bacterium
Lineage: Bacteria
Description: partial 16S ribosomal RNA
Rfam family: Bacterial small subunit ribosomal RNA
Source: RNAcentral
AGGACGAACGCUGGCGGCGUGCUUAACACAUGCAAGUCGAGCGGAAAGGCCCUUCGGGGUACUCGAGCGGCGAACGGGUGAGUAACACGUGGGCAACCUGCCCCUAGCUCUGGGACAACUCCGGGAAACCGGGGCUAAUACCGGAUACGAUCUUCCACGGCAUCUCGGAAGAUGGAAAGUUUUUUCGGCUAGGGAUGGGCCCGCGGCCUAUCAGCUUGUUGGUGAGGUAACGGCCACCAAGGCGACGACGGGUAG